This is a long non-coding RNA of Hippopotamus amphibius kiboko, 749 nucleotides long. RefSeq lists it as uncharacterized. The record is from RefSeq and is a predicted model, not a curated record. NCBI's taxonomy places the organism in Eukaryota, Metazoa, Chordata, Mammalia, Artiodactyla, Hippopotamidae. The transcript is spliced from 4 exons.
CUGGAGUUGUGAUGGCCUUUCAGAGUUGUCUCAAACUGAUGCAAGGGGCUGGGCCUAUAUAUCCUCACACCAGCUGUUCAUUCCUCCUGUUUGGUGGGCAUAUAACCUUGAGUGAGAUACGCUGUGAGAAGUUGGAAUUCAUUUCCCUGCCAGCUUGGAGAGGGAAAAAGGAAUCCAUUCAUCUUCAGAAAAAAAAGGACAGUUUUUACAAGCACAGCCUAGGUCUCAGUUCCAGCCACUGCCCAGUUGUGUGACCUUAGCCAAUUUGCACGAUCUCCCCUCUUGGACUUCCCACCCUCGGCCCCUCGCCACACCCGCCCGGUGCUGCCCCACCCGGUGUAACAGCUAGAGGCCUGGGAACGAUGUCGGCUAGAAUCCCUCCCAGGAGGUACCAUUUAGGUUCCACUAAUCAGAAGCACCCGCUUGAGGCUUGAAAAAGCCGCGGACGCCAUCUCCUUGUUCUCCGGGCGGCAGGAGGCGGGUGCGUGCGCUUCAGCAGGGACCCUGCAGCAGCCUCUGGGCGUUUUCCUGUGGAUCUUCUGCCUCAGUUUGCACAGCACAGUCCAGCCCAGCGGUUUGCAACGUGUCUGUGUCACCUGGGAGCCUGAAACAGUGCAAAUUCUUGGACCUACUCCAGGCCGACCCAUUCAGAAGCUCUGGAGGUCUGUUCCAAGGAUUUUAGUAACUUACCGCCCGAGCCGAGUCACCGAAGUCUAUCUUCAACCUCCCCAUGGCCCUGAUGAUAGCAA